AACGCACCUUGCGCUCCUUGGUAUUCCGAGGAGCAUGCCUGUUUGAGUGUCAUUAAAUUCUCAACCUUCCAGCUUUUUUUUAUAAGCUUGGUUAGGCUUGGAUGUGGGAGUUGCGGGCUUCAUCAAUAAUGAGGUCGGCUUUCCUUAAAUGCAUUAGCGGAACUUUUGUGGACCAUCUAUUGGUGUGAUAAUUAUCUACGCCGUGGAUGUGAAACAGCUUUAUGAAGUUCAGCUUCGAACCGUCCAUUCACUUGGACAAUUUUGACAAUUUGACCUCAAAUCAGGUAGGACUACCCGCUGAACUUAA
This 307-nucleotide unclassified non-coding RNA is filed under the name uncultured Laccaria. Its description in RNAcentral is "sequence contains ITS2". The stretch from base 1 to 52 matches the Rfam family "5.8S ribosomal RNA", at positions 103 to 154 of the family's 154-position model. The record is from RNAcentral. Lineage: Eukaryota; Fungi; Basidiomycota; Agaricomycetes; Agaricales; Tricholomataceae.